This 625-nucleotide ribosomal RNA is filed under the name uncultured Geobacteraceae bacterium. Its description in RNAcentral is "partial 16S ribosomal RNA". The stretch from base 1 to 553 matches the Rfam family "Bacterial small subunit ribosomal RNA", at positions 9 to 546 of the family's 1533-position model. The record is from RNAcentral. Lineage: Bacteria; Pseudomonadati; Thermodesulfobacteriota; Desulfuromonadia; Geobacterales; Geobacteraceae.
GAGUUUGAUCCUGGCUCAGAACGAACGCUGGCGGCGUGCUUAACACAUGCAAGUCGAACGUGAUCCGGAGCUUGCUCCGGUGAAAGUGGCGCACGGGUGAGUAACGCGUGGAUAAUCUGCCCUGGUAUCUGGGAUAACAUCUCGAAAGGGGUGCUAAUACCGGAUAAGCCUACGGAUUCCUCGGAGUCUGCAGGAAAAGGUGGCCUCUAUUUAUAAGCUACCGUAUCAUGAUGGGUCCGCGUACCAUUAGCUAGUUGGUGGGGUAAUGGCCUACCAAGGCGACGAUGGUUAGCUGGUCUGAGAGGAUGAUCAGCCACACUGGAACUGAGACACGGUCCAGACUCCUACGGGAGGCAGCAGUGGGGAAUUUUGCGCAAUGGGGGAAACCCUGACGCAGCAACGCCGCGUGAGUGAUGAAGGCUUUCGGGUCGUAAAGCUCUGUCAGAGGGGAAGAAAUGAAACGUGCUAAUAUCACGUUUUCUUGACGGUACCCUCAAAGGAAGCACCGGCUAACUCCGUGCCAGCAGCCGCGGUAAUACAAGGGCKWAUUGYCAASAWAUCYAUCMWUCCUUUMRKRGGGGGSCMGCRGGRAAAACAGGRUCGGAKUAAAKUCGCAAGAAUUWYA